Molecule: long non-coding RNA, 1028 nt
Filed under: Betta splendens (Siamese fighting fish)
Lineage: Eukaryota; Metazoa; Chordata; Actinopteri; Anabantiformes; Osphronemidae
Description: lncRNA (ENSBSLG00000020146.1)
Source: RNAcentral
GAUCCACACACUCAGGUCAAAAUGAUGAUAGAGUCACUGCAGAGGAGUCGACCCGUCUGAUCGUCGCCGCGUGGACGCACAACUAGAUUCUCCACUCCAGCAUGAAGUGAUCUCGCUCCCUCUCUCAAUCAUUCCCAGCUGACUGCAGGGGGGGAAAUUAUCAUCACUGCCUCUGAAGCAUCAACAUGAAAGCUGAAUUUUCUUCAUCACUCGCAGCAAAAGGAUUUUUUUUUCUUCUGUGGGCACAAUAUACUUUAAAGACCCUGUGAGGUUGAACACUAUUUUGGUCUUAGAGCAAAAUGACUUCAGGUGAGGGCUGGAAUCAGUGGUGCUGGUGUGAUCGGCAUACUGAGUGACAGCGCGGCAAUAAAGCGGGAGGAGACAAGGUCAGAGAGAGCUGGUGGGAUGAAAGGAAGAUGAAUUUAAAAUGAAAUCAUCAACAUGAGUAAAGAAAAGGCAAGCGUCCAAAAAGGACAGAUUUAAGAAUCCAUCCUAAAAGCGAAUCCGUUAGUGCUGAAACCUAAGGGACAGCUUUGGCAAAUGUCAAUUCUAAGCCGUCACAGACAAAAGCCACUUAAAUACUGUGAAGAAGAGACACGAUGAGGAAGACGAGGCAGAUGCUACACGAUGAAGGUGCUGCUAGUGUAGCAUUAGCUGAGGGAGAGACGCCUGCAGCCAAAUGUGAAACCUCAUCGUUAGUCGCAGCGGUCGUCCAGAACCACUCCACUCACCUGCUCGCUGCCUGCCUGCACACCUGCUCCGAAUUCCCUCAGAAGUUCCCCUCAGCAGCUGCACCAGUCGUUCUCACGUUGUUUUCAGAUUAAGUGCUGCUGUAGUCAGCUCCCCGCUCGCAAAACCAGCCCAGGUCCCGUCGUGCGGCCUGUGUGACCCUCUACAUGUUGUGGUUCUAUAAACUCCAGUCAAUCAAGGACAACGCCUCUACCCACAACCCACGAGGUGCUCAAUCAGCGGGCGGCUGAUCAAUACAUCUCAUUUCAAACCCACGCGCUUGACUUAUUAUUUUUUUU